CUUAUGACUAAAGCUCAAGUUGAAAAUAGGAAGAAAAUAUAAAUGUCCAAUGAUUAAACUUUUUCCACUGCUGUUCACAUCAUGAUCUGUUGUGAUUAAUGUAUGUGGAUGAGGACAUAAUGGAAAAAGAAAAUCCUAGUGGGAGAAAAAAAUUAUAGAUAUGAUGUAAUUUUUUUGUAUAUUGAUUUACUUGUAAAUGUGUUCCUGUUUUAGGAAUGAAAUUGAAGGGUGUUUUUGUCAGAUUUAUCUGAUAAAGAAUUUGAACAUUUAUAUAGUAAGGUAAGUGGUUUAUAAAUUUGCUAGUUUUGACAAAAGAACGGACAAUCAGAUUUGAGCAAAAAAUUGAUAUUUGAGCAUAAUGUGGACAUUGUACUCAAUUAAAUUUUUUUCCUUAUUUUUUCAUUUUUCAAAGAUAACAAGAAUAUGAUUUCAAAGAUAAUUUUCUGAAUCAAUAGAUUUGAUGCAGGAUAGGCAAUUGGGUGGCUGGGGUCAGGACUUUUAACCUUGAUGAUUAUCUUUUCUCAAAAAUAAUGGUGUAAUUCAGCCUCUGAGGUUCUUAGAGAUCAUAUAUUCCAGGGUUUAAAUUUGCUGAACUUUUGUAUGUCCUAUAAAUGACUCUUUGAUAUGCCACUGAAUGACCAUCCUAUAACUUAAUCUUUAUUCAAGAACAGUAGAUAAGUAGGUGGUUAGAAGCUGGGAAUCUCAAAUUUAAUACCAGAUUAAUCUGUCACUAAUUAGGCAUGUUGUCUUGGGGUGUUUCAAAUUUGAGGAAUAUAAAGAGGAAAAAUUCUUGCAAAUACUCAGUAUUGAUUUAAGUUUAUUUUCUAUUUCAUAAAUUUCUACAAACAUAAAAGUUGAUAUAAAUUUUGUUGACGGGCCUUAAUCAAAAGAUUUACAAAAUAAGUGCAUUCAAAGACAAAACAUUAAAUGGGAUGGAUGCUACUGUUACACAGGAGAAAACAUGGUACUGGCUGGUGUGGAAUAAGUUGUAAAUACAUACAGUCUUGUGCUUUGUGAUGAUUAUAAAGCUUUAUAAUCAGGACAACAGUAGAGUUGUCCAGAACUUUACUCUUUUGCAGACCUCAAAAUUGUUGAAAUGAGGGAAGGGGCCUAAGUUCUCAAAAGGAUGUCUUUGGACUGUCUGCAAAUGCUAAUUUGAAGAAUUCUGUAUUACCUUGUCUCCAAACAUUUUUCCAUCUCCAGUGGGAAUUCACUCUGGAACUAACAUUCCUUUGAGAAAAUCUUCAGUUUCUAUUUUGAUCUAUGGUUAAGUUUGGCUAGUAGUUAACUAAAUUGGAUUAAAAGUUGAUUAUUUUGUGAACUAAUGUAAGUUUUUCUUUUUAGAUACAGGUGGUCCUUACUUUGCACCGUUCCAUUAUACAUGAAGAUCAGUUUUCACAGUUUAGUUAAAUAACACCAAUCCUCCUACAACACAGUUGUGAUUUCAGUUACAAUAGUAACUGAAUUGUUGCAUAAGUUUUGUUGCUAGCUCUUUAUUCCACAACUGAUUAUGCAUUAUAAAAGAUGUGCAUCAUGGUCAGUAACCAGUUACAUCACAUCUUUCAAAGUCUCUUGGUGAUUGAUCACUAAACAUCUAUUAGUUCACAGAGUAAAGCAUGUAGUUGUAUUGCUUACUUGUUUCCCAGUAAUAAACCCAUGCAACAUUGUACAAAACUGGAUAAUCAGAAGAGGGAAUUGGCAGGGCAGCAAAGAAACAAGUGAUUUUUAACACUGGAAGUGAAAUUGGAUUUGAAAAUGGCGACAGCAUAGUGAAGACGAGACGAGACCCAGGCCUACAUAAAGCUGCAGCAGAAACUGUGGUUUAAAAGUUCGAGGAAUAUAAAAAGCAAAGUAAAGUUGCUUCAACAUUUUUUAGUUUAAAUUACACUAGGAACAGAAAGCCACUUACAGUUGAAAUGGAGUGCUUGCUUCUACUUUGGAUGGAGGACUGUAAUAAAAAAUCCUAAUCAGUUUGGCUAGCAUUCAGGCCAGAGUGUUGAGGUUAGUUGCUGCACUGAAGGAAAAUGGUAAUUACCAGGAGACUAAAAAAGAACGUUUUUUGCUGGGAAAGGCUGGUUUCAUCGUUCAGAAGUCUGGAGCGCCUGCGUGGCUCAGUCGGUUAAGGUUAAGCAUCGUUUGGAGGUCGGCGUGAAUAGAAUAAUGUUCCACUGGUGAAGCUGCAUGUUCAGAUAAGGAUGCUACUGGGAAAUUUGCACCCAUGUUCCAAGAAUCACAGGCAGUCCUUGCUUUGCACAGUGGUAUGAGACUACUGUGCAAAACUUCAUAGGAUUUGGCUGGAAUGUAAAUGGAGUUCCGGAAGAUAUGACUGUGGGAAUGUUUACACUGCUGCCAUUCAGGAAGUAGUUCUGGAUAUACAGCCAGAAGGUGCUGCUUCAGCAGCACAUACACUAAAAUUGGAUAUAUAGCCAGAAGAAUUUAGUGAAGGUGAACAUAGUUAUAAAUGAGGAAAGCAGUUGUGUGUUGUGAAGGAUGAAUACAUUUGGAGGAAGUGAUUCAGGUGAAAAACCACAUUAAAGGAACUCUGAGAUGUUUCAUGACACUGUGCAAAGCAUUAAACGUUAGAAAAAGAUCAAACUCAGAAAAGAGGAUGACAAUUUGCCAAGGCAUAGGAAAGAUGCUUGCUCCAUAUUGUAAGUUAUAUGAGAAAGCAAGCACUGUUCAAACUACUUGAGACUUGUUUAUAAAGAAAUAAAACAUUCUAAUUUUCAAUGUUUCUAAUGUUUUGAAUAUUUUAUUUUUUAUAUUUCAACCAAAAUCAGUUUCUAAUGUUUGGACAAAUUUUAAGGUUAUAGAACAAUCAGAUUGUGCUUUGCGCGGUUUCAGCUUUCAUAGUCCAAGUGAGAACUCCCUCUAUUUAAAACAAACUAGGAACUCUUUAUAUUUAACCAGAUAUAUCAAGUCUAGAAACAAAUACACUUUUCCCUUAGAUUACCAGUUAUAUUAUGACAGUUUUCAUACUGUCUUUGUAUGCAUGCUACUAUAACAAGGCUUUGAAAUAAAAAUUUAUACAAUACUGUAUGUCUCAUACUUUGACUUGUAGGCAAAUCCUAAUAGAUAGGGAUUGGCAAACUUCUUUUAUAAAUACAGCCAUACAGUGAAUAGGCUUUGCAGACUCUUUAAUGGUCUCUAGCAACUACUCAGUUUUGUCCAUGUAGCACAAAAACAGCCAUAGGCAAUACAGAG
This 3204-nucleotide long non-coding RNA is filed under the name Lynx pardinus (Iberian lynx). Lineage: Eukaryota; Metazoa; Chordata; Mammalia; Carnivora; Felidae. The record is from RNAcentral.